RNAcentral lists this ribosomal RNA (611 nucleotides) under uncultured Pseudomonadota bacterium. Its description in RNAcentral is "bacterial SSU rRNA". It matches the Rfam family "Bacterial small subunit ribosomal RNA", at positions 51 to 651 of the family's 1533-position model. The record is from RNAcentral. Lineage: Bacteria; Pseudomonadati; Pseudomonadota.
ACACAUGCAAGUCGAACGGUAACAGGAAGCAGCUUGCUGCUUCGCUGACGAGUGGCGGACGGGUGAGUAAUGUCUGGGAAGCUGCCUGAUGGAGGGGGAUAACUACUGGAAACGGUAGCUAAUACCGCAUAAUGUCGCAAGACCAAAGAGGGGGACCUCCGGGCCUCUUGCCAUCGGAUGUGCCCAGAUGGGAUUAGCUUGUUGGUGGGGUAACGGCUCACCAAGGCGACGAUCCCUAGCUGGUCUGAGAGGAUGACCAGCCACACUGGAACUGAGACACGGUCCAGACUCCUACGGGAGGCAGCAGUGGGGAAUAUUGCACAAUGGGCGCAAGCCUGAUGCAGCCAUGCCGCGUGUAUGAAGAAGGCCUUCGGGUUGUAAAGUACUUUCAGCGGGGAGGAAGGGAGUAAAGUUAAUACCUUUGCUCAUUGACGUUACCCGCAGAAGAAGCACCGGCUAACUCCGUGCCAGCAGCCGCGGUAAUACGGAGGGUGCAAGCGUUAAUCGGAAUUACUGGGCGUAAAGCGCACGCAGGCGGUUAGUUAAGUCAGAUGUGAAAUCCCCGGGCUCAACCUGGGAACUGCAUCUGAUACUGGCAAGCUUGAGUCUCG